GAAUAAUCCAAGAAUAAUUUCACUAAACUUGAGCUCAAGCAAAUUGUCAGGCCGGAUAGAUGCUGCAUUCUCUAAACUCACAAAUUUAGAGAUUCUAGAUUUGUCAAACAAUGAACUGACCGGGGGCCUGCCAGAAUUUUUAGCACAAUUACCGCGUCUGAA
Molecule: long non-coding RNA, 162 nt
Organism: Medicago truncatula (barrel medic)
Lineage: Eukaryota; Viridiplantae; Streptophyta; Magnoliopsida; Fabales; Fabaceae
Exons: 3
Source: RefSeq, a predicted model, not a curated record